GUACAAACUCUGGGGAGUGGCUCUUGCAGGCUGGUCCCUGGGUGGGGACUUAGCUGGGUGGGGCAGCCAGAGGAGAGGGCGUCCUUUUUGCUCUGGGAGACUCUGCUGCCCGCUGCUCCAGGCUCCGCCCUCUGGGUUUAAUCUCUGUGUAGAGCGGGGUGCAGGCAUCUGAGAAGACCCCCGUCCCCCUGCCAGGACCUGGGCCACCUCUCCCCAUCUUCCCAGGCCCCAGAUGGCAUCUCAGUGGCAAAACACAGGCCAUGUCAGUCAUUCCUAGGGAAACCUUGGAAGUGACCUUGUCUGUUUCUUUCUCCGGAAACAAAACCAGAGAGAGGCACUGCCUUCCAAAGACGCAUUUACAAGAGAGCCUGGGCCAGGUCCGGGGCUCCUGGCUCCAAAUGCGUUCAUCUUUUGCCUGACUUCACCCUCCCUUCAACUUCCCUCUGGUGCUGAAUCAGUUCCCAAGUUCACAGGGACAGAGAGGCGCUGAGCCCACAGCACAGAAGCUAGGUUCUAUGACUGAGACAUUCAAAGGAGGUCCUGCCUCUCUGAACCUCAGUCUCUUCAUCUGUAAAUGGGGAAAAUGAUACACACCUGUAAAACCAGCAACUUGAGAGGAUGAGGCAGGAGGAUCACAAGUUCAAGGUUGGCCUUGACAACUUAGUGAGACGCUGUCUCAAAAACUCAAAUAGCUGGUGUUGUAGUUCAGUGAUGCAGAACCACCAAAUUCAAUCCCUAGGACUGAAAAAUAAAAAUAAAAAGGUGGGGGGAUAAUGGCAUAAUGUCUACCUCACAAGAAGGGAAUCCGGACAAGAACUGGC
RNAcentral lists this long non-coding RNA (821 nucleotides) under Marmota monax (woodchuck). Lineage: Eukaryota; Metazoa; Chordata; Mammalia; Rodentia; Sciuridae. The record is from RNAcentral.